CUCUCUCUCUUCUCUCUCA
RNAcentral lists this small RNA (19 nucleotides) under Arabidopsis thaliana (thale cress). Its description in RNAcentral is "ATSL205500". The record is from RNAcentral. Lineage: Eukaryota; Viridiplantae; Streptophyta; Magnoliopsida; Brassicales; Brassicaceae.